AGUGAACGCUGGCGGCGUGCUUAACACAUGCAAGUCGAACGAGAACGGGUUAUAGCUUGCUAUAAUUGUCAGCUAAGUGGCGCACGGGUGAGUAAUGUAUAGGUAAUAUGCCUCUUACUAAGGGAUAACAAAUGGAAACGUUUGCUAAUACCUUAUACUCCUUAUUAACAGAAGUUAAUAAGGGAAAGAUUUAUUGGUAAGAGAUUAGCCUGUAUUGUAUCAGUUAGUUGGUGGGGUAAUGGCUUACCAAGACUAUGACACAUAACUGGUUUGAAAGGAUGAUCAGUCACACUGGAACUGAGACACGGUCCAGACUCCUACGGGAGGCAGCAGUGGGGAAUAUUGCACAAUGGACGAAAGUCUGAUGCAGCAACGCCGCGUGGAGGAUGACACAUUUCGGUGCGUAAACUCCUUUUAUAUGGGAAGAUAAUGACGGUAUUAUAUGAAUAAGCACCGGCUAACACUGUGCCAGCAGCCGCGGUAA
This 484-nucleotide ribosomal RNA is filed under the name uncultured bacterium. RNAcentral describes it as "partial 16S ribosomal RNA". It matches the Rfam family "Bacterial small subunit ribosomal RNA", at positions 29 to 523 of the family's 1533-position model. The record is from RNAcentral.